AGUUAGAACAAUUCAGAAACAAACAAAAGAAAAAUAAAAAUAAAAGUGACCGACUAUACUAUACCUAAGUUGGUGACCGAACUGAAGCCAGCAUUGUAGAGAGCCUAUUCGGUCAUCAGCUCCCUCUGCAGUGGGACCACCAUAUCCUUCAAUCGAUGGAAGUUCUUUUGAUCACCGACCUCCACCUGACCGUUAUCAUUGGGACCGGUCCUUGGAUCACCCCAGCAUGAAGGAAAGCCCCAAGGA
This 246-nucleotide long non-coding RNA is filed under the name Elaeis guineensis (African oil palm). RNAcentral's name for it is "long non-coding RNA (EGUI_LNC025938)". The record is from RNAcentral. Lineage: Eukaryota; Viridiplantae; Streptophyta; Magnoliopsida; Arecales; Arecaceae.